GAUGAACGCUGGCGGCGUGCCUAAUACAUGCAAGUCGAACGCUGGAGAUCUAGCUUGCUAGAUCGAAGGAGUGGCGAACGGGUGAGUAAUACAUAAGCAACCUACCCACGAAGACUGGGAUAAUCUCUGGAAACGGGGACUAAUACCGGGUAGGUAAUCGGAAGGCAUCUUCUGGUUAUUAAAGGUUAAAAACACUGGUGGAUGGGCUUAUGGCGCAUUAGUUAGUUGGUGAGGUAACGGCCCACCAAGACGAUGAUGCGUAGCCGGCCUGAGAGGGUGAACGGCCACAUUGGGACUGAGACACGGCCCAGACUCCUACGGGAGGCAGCAGUAGGGAAUGUUCGGCAAUGGGGGCAACCCUGACCGAGCAACGCCGCGUGAGUGAAGACGGCCUUCGGGUUGUAAAGCUCUGUUGUAAGGGAAGAACGGUAGAUAGAGAAUAUCUAAGUGACGGUACCUUACCAGAAAGCCACGGCUAACUACGUG
Molecule: ribosomal RNA, 486 nt
Filed under: uncultured bacterium
Lineage: Bacteria
Description: partial 16S ribosomal RNA
Rfam family: Bacterial small subunit ribosomal RNA
Source: RNAcentral